Molecule: ribosomal RNA, 253 nt
Filed under: uncultured bacterium
Lineage: Bacteria
Description: partial 16S ribosomal RNA
Rfam family: Bacterial small subunit ribosomal RNA
Source: RNAcentral
UACGAAGGGUGCAAACGUUGCUCGGAAUCAUUGGGCGUAAAGCGCACGUAGGCGGCUUCGCAAGUCGGAUGUGAAAUCCCAUGGCUCAACCAUGGACGUGCAUUCGAAACUGCGAAGCUUGAGUAUGGAAGAGGGUCGCGGAAUUCCCAGUGUAGAGGUGAAAUUCGUAGAUAUUGGGAAGAACACCGGUGGCGAAGGCGGCUCUCUGGACCGAGACUGACGCCGAGGCGCGAAAGCGUGGGGAGCAAACAGG